RNAcentral lists this unclassified non-coding RNA (2958 nucleotides) under Leguminivora glycinivorella. RNAcentral describes it as "collagen alpha-1(I) chain-like, transcript variant X9". Lineage: Eukaryota; Metazoa; Arthropoda; Insecta; Lepidoptera; Tortricidae. The record is from RNAcentral.
GCGCCGGCGCCGGCGUCGGCGGCGUCAGUCUCGAUCUGCGAAUGUCGCGACGCGCAUGCUUGUAGUGAUGUGAGUGCAGUGUGUGGUGUAUCUGUGAUAUUGCAUUAGGAUUUACAAUAUGAAGUGUGUUUUAUUGAUAAGUGCUUGUUCUCUACUAACUGUCACGGCUUCUAUAACAUAUGAUGAAUACAACGUGUUGCAGCAAACAAUAUUUGCGAGUUAUCCAAAGAGCGAUGAUCCAGGAGACCUCACUAAACCGCCCUACAAAAUAGAUGAACCAGUCUCAGUGGACAUUUCAAAGCUUUCCCUAGCUAAUAAAACACUAUCUUACCCAUUGAUGCUACACGCAGUAUUCAAGCUAGAUAAAUACAGAACUACGAAUUUUUUCUCUAUAACGGAUAAAACUGGAUAUAUCAAAAAGUUAAUGUUGACUCUAAAGGCGAAUCCUGGAUACUUGAAUGAGUUCAUAUUGAAAAGUGACAGUUUCUCGACGAGCGUUAGUUUUAGAGAAAAAUUGAAUUUAAUACACAAGUGGACAAAUGUUUCAUUCUACAUACAACAUGACAAAGUCUCCUUUUGGCUAGAUUGUGAAAGGAGAGAGCCAGAUUUCGAAGAAAGUGAUUCUGUGUUUCGUGACAUUGAUUUGAAUGGCGAUUAUCAAGUACACUUGAGUGACGCGGUUCAUCCUUUUCACGGUGAAUUUCAAGAUAUCAAAAUAUUCGUCGGCGCUGAAGAGAGUAUUAUUGAUAAUAUAUGUAAAACUGAUUUUAGGCUACCCGGCAGUGCUGGUAAACCGGCUGGGGACUUUGGUGUAAGUGGGCCAAUAGCAGCAAGUCUUACCGCUGAAAGGCCCUUUACGGAGAGAGGUGACGGAAUCGGUGGAGAUGAUGAAGAUUUCGAAGGCGAAUUUGUACCGGGAUCAUCGGGAGAAGUUGGUAAAUGUGAAUGUUCUGAGUCGACCAUAUCAAGCUUGCUUGCGUCCAUGCCUGAGAUGAGAGGACCGCCAGGAAGUCCCGGGCCACAGGGUGACCAAGGCGAAACUGGAUUAGCUGGCCCGAGGGGUGCACCAGGUGAACCUGGACCGAGAGGGCACACGGGACACGAAGGACCAAAAGGAGAAGACGGCAGUCCAGGAAGGCAAGGAUCUCCAGGGCACGAUGGUGAACCAGGCAGGAGGGGAGAACCGGGGCCAGUCGGACCACCAGGGCCGCAGGGACCCCCUGGAGAAUGUACUGUGGUGAAGGGAACAGAAGAGAAAAAAGAAGUAGCCGUACCAGGUGAAAGAGGACCACCUGGACCAAUUGGUCCCCCUGGUCCUAGAGGACCGGAAGGGGAAAGGGGUGUCAAAGGAGAAACUGGAACCAAAGGAGACAAAGGUGAUGAGGGAACAAAAGGUGAAAGGGGAGAACGCGGUGAAGACGGAAGAGACGGGGUUCCAGGCGCACCUGGAAGCGACGGACUGCCCGGUCAUAAAGGACAAAAAGGCGAUACUGGCCUCAUCGGCCCGCCCGGCCUGGCGGGCAUGCCAGCUAAAUUAACAUCAUUGUUAUCAGAAGAAAUGGAUCCUAAAGAGAAGGCUGAAAUCGCUGAUUUAUUAAGAGGACCAAAGGGGGAGAAAGGGGAUUAUGGUGCCAAGGGUGACAGAGGAGACGACGGGAUAAAUGGCCUACCGGGAAACGACGGUAAAGAUGGGCGAGAUGGAGCACCGGGAGAACAAGGGCCGCUUGGACCAAAAGGGGAUCUUGGACCACCUGGAUCAAGAGGACAUAAAGGGGAACGUGGGGAACCUGGUCCUCCUGGAAAUGCUCCUGCUGCUGCUAUUACAAUAACAAAGGGUGAGAAAGGAUCGCAUGGCCAUCCCGGAAAGGUGGGCCCAAAAGGAGACCCUGGACCUAAAGGCGAACAAGGUACGCCAGGGCAAAAUGGAACUAAAGGAGACAAGGGAAACACUGGACCUCCGGGCCCAAUGGGACACAAAGGCGUUGAGGGUAUAAAAGGGUCGUCGGGAGAAAAAGGAGAGAAAGGGGAAAGAGCACAGCCCAUUGACUUGGCAUUGUUGAAAGGUGAAAAAGGUGAACGAGGUGCUAUUGGGACCAUAGGACCAAUUGGCCCACCUGGGCCACCAGGUUCAACUUCCAAUCACUCGGCUGUACCUGGACCUGUCGGACCUUCUGGGCCGCCUGGGCCUUCUGGACCUGUUGGACCUUCCGGACUUUCCGGACCUCCUGGACCUCCCGGUCCUCCUGGUUCUCCCGGUGUACCUGGAUUACCAGGGUCUCCUGGGCUGACUAUCACUGGACCAUUAGGUGGACCAACGGACGCGAUAAACUCUAUUUAUUAUGACAUUGGAGAAGAUGAUUUCUACACAGCCUCGACAGUUGUCUACAAAAGCCGGACAGCAUUAAUAAAAGUAAAGAACAGAAAACACGCCACUGGGAACGUUGGCCUUUAUCUUACAAGAGGAAAUUCUUCUUUUACGCGUCCAAAAUGGGUGGCAAUAUGUCCGGAUGGGUUCCUUAUGGAACGUGGAGUCUUCAUCAACGACCACCCGACCGCCGUGGCAGGACCCUGCACCAGUAACCACCCGGUCUCCAAGAGCAAACAACGUUAUCGCGAGUACCGACAGACCCAAGCCGAAACCAAGACCUCCCAGGCGGUUGAGGACAAAUUAUAUUCGUCUAAUAGCGCUAAACAGCCCAUACACGGGCAGAAUGUUAAGUGAGACGAACUCAAGUUUUAGUUUCUAUGCAAUAGCAAAUGACUGCAGACGGCAGGCUUUAAGACACAAUAUUAGCGGUCACUUUGAGCCUCUACUCGAUUUUAGGGAUGGUGGCUUAGAAAAUCUUGUAGAUAAGAAAUACCAUGAACUACCGGUAGGGAACUUGUUUGGGGACAUGCUUUUCGACAAGUGGAAAAACGUGUUCGAUGACCGGGGUCACAUUCCGCCGACUGCAAACA